Molecule: ribosomal RNA, 528 nt
Filed under: Trichoderma sp. M13009
Lineage: Eukaryota; Fungi; Ascomycota; Sordariomycetes; Hypocreales; Hypocreaceae
Also listed under: 1 other name
Description: eukaryotic LSU rRNA
Rfam family: 5.8S ribosomal RNA (bases 193-346)
Source: RNAcentral
GGAUCAUUACCGAGUUUACAACUCCCAAACCCAAUGUGAACGUUACCAAACUGUUGCCUCGGCGGGGUCACGCCCCGGGUGCGUCGCAGCCCCGGAACCAGGCGCCCGCCGGAGGAACCAACCAAACUCUUUCUGUAGUCCCCUCGCGGACGUAUUUCUUACAGCUCUGAGCAAAAAUUCAAAAUGAAUCAAAACUUUCAACAACGGAUCUCUUGGUUCUGGCAUCGAUGAAGAACGCAGCGAAAUGCGAUAAGUAAUGUGAAUUGCAGAAUUCAGUGAAUCAUCGAAUCUUUGAACGCACAUUGCGCCCGCCAGUAUUCUGGCGGGCAUGCCUGUCCGAGCGUCAUUUCAACCCUCGAACCCCUCCGGGGGAUCGGCGUUGGGGAUCGGGACCCCUCACACGGGUGCCGGCCCCGAAAUACAGUGGCGGUCUCGCCGCAGCCUCUCCUGCGCAGUAGUUUGCACAACUCGCACCGGGAGCGCGGCGCGUCCACGUCCGUAAAACACCCAACUUCUGAAAUGUUGACC